AUGCGUCGCUUUUCAGCUGCUUCAUCAUCAAGACAGGAAACCGACAAAUUGCUGUUUAAACAUCUAGCAGAUGGAGAGGCCCAAGUACUGGUACAAUCUCAACUAUCCAUCACCAGGGCAGAAAAUAAAACUGCACGAAUUGACUGUCAUGUUUCUGGCAUUACCCUUGGUAGUGCUUAUAUACAUUGGUAUCGACAGAGACCUGAUGCAGCUCUGGAACGGAUUCUCUAUUUUUUAUCAGGAAAACCGAACUUUGACCGGGAUUCUGAGAAGGCAAAGUUUGAGGCAGAGAAGCAGCUCUCCGAGUCGAUCUGUGUCCUGACGGUAAAAAAAAUAAGCAAGAAUGAUGCGGCUACCUAUUACUGUGCUGCUUGGGAUCACACAGUAUUACAAAAACGUUCACAUUCUGUACAAAAACCUACUUUGUAUUCUAAGCAACAGCCUUUCUAA
Non-coding RNA from Trachemys scripta elegans, 450 nucleotides. NCBI's taxonomy places the organism in Eukaryota, Metazoa, Chordata, Testudines, Emydidae. The record is from the annotation of a RefSeq genome assembly.